Molecule: ribosomal RNA, 468 nt
Filed under: uncultured bacterium
Lineage: Bacteria
Description: partial 16S ribosomal RNA
Rfam family: Bacterial small subunit ribosomal RNA
Source: RNAcentral
GACGAACGCUGGCGGCGUGCUUAACACAUGCAAGUCGAACGGAAAGGCCCUGCUUUUGUGGGGUGCUCGAGUGGCGAACGGGUGAGUAACACGUGAGUAACCUGCCCUUGACUUUGGGAUAACUUCAGGAAACUGGGGCUAAUACCGGAUAGGAGCUCCUGCUGCAUGGUGGGGGUUGGAAAGUUUCGGCGGUUGGGGAUGGACUCGCGGCUUAUCAGCUUGUUGGUGGGGUAGUGGCUUACCAAGGCUUUGACGGGUAGCCGGCCUGAGAGGGUGACCGGCCACAUUGGGACUGAGAUACGGCCCAGACUCCUACGGGAGGCAGUAGUGGGGAAUAUUGCACAAUGGGCGGAAGCCUGAUGCAGCAACGCCGCGUGCGGGAUGACGGCCUUCGGGUUGUAAACCGCUUUCGCCUGUGACGAAGCGUGAGUGACGGUAAUGGGUAAAGAAGCACCAGCUAACUACGUG